UCCUCUUCAACGCUGCGUUUCUAUGCUGCAAACGGAGAGAUUCGCGCGCAAGCAAGAGUCUCUCAUCACUGGCAUAUGAGAAAUUCGGAGUAACUUCUUCACACCACUCACCCAAUGUCGCCUGCCUUGUGCGGGAUUGACGGGUCUGCCCGCGAGGGCCUGGCGUGACUUCACGUCUGCAAUUGGCAUCAGAAAAGCAGGGUCCGGGCCGACCUCAUGUAUAUCCUGAAUCCCUUCCGGGGGAUGCAGUAGAAGAUGGGGUUCUAGGACUCGGUGUCCCUAUGGGAGAGCCGUUGCGAAAAGAUUGUGCAGAGCACUUGAGUGCGAUACGCAGCGUCUGGACACUGGCUGGCCUUGGCUGGUCAGGGGCUUGACAAUUCAAUUCCGAUCAUUCUGUUGAGGA
The sequence is a non-coding RNA, 403 nucleotides long. It matches the Rfam family "Nuclear RNase P". Rfam says of the family: Ribonuclease P (RNase P) is a ubiquitous endoribonuclease, found in archaea, bacteria and eukarya as well as chloroplasts and mitochondria. Its best characterised activity is the generation of mature 5'-ends of tRNAs by cleaving the 5'-leader elements of precursor-tRNAs. The record is from Rfam.